This 1451-nucleotide ribosomal RNA is filed under the name Escherichia coli. Its description in RNAcentral is "partial 23S ribosomal RNA". It matches the Rfam family "Bacterial large subunit ribosomal RNA", at positions 1362 to 2798 of the family's 2925-position model. Lineage: Bacteria; Pseudomonadati; Pseudomonadota; Gammaproteobacteria; Enterobacterales; Enterobacteriaceae. The record is from RNAcentral.
ACGUUAAUCGGGGCAGGGUGAGUCGACCCCUAAGGCGAGGCCGAAAGGCGUAGUCGAUGGGAAACAGGUUAAUAUUCCUGUACUUGGUGUUACUGCGAAGGGGGGACGGAGAAGGCUAUGUUGGCCGGGCGACGGUUGUCCCGGUUUAAGCGUGUAGGCUGGUUUUCCAGGCAAAUCCGGAAAAUCAAGGCUGAGGCGUGAUGACGAGGCACUACGGUGCUGAAGCAACAAAUGCCCUGCUUCCAGGAAAAGCCUCUAAGCAUCAGGUAACAUCAAAUCGUACCCCAAACCGACACAGGUGGUCAGGUAGAGAAUACCAAGGCGCUUGAGAGAACUCGGGUGAAGGAACUAGGCAAAAUGGUGCCGUAACUUCGGGAGAAGGCACGCUGAUAUGUAGGUGAAGUCCCUCGCGGAUGGAGCUGAAAUCAGUCGAAGAUACCAGCUGGCUGCAACUGUUUAUUAAAAACACAGCACUGUGCAAACACGAAAGUGGACGUAUACGGUGUGACGCCUGCCCGGUGCCGGAAGGUUAAUUGAUGGGGUCAGCGCAAGCGAAGCUCUUGAUCGAAGCCCCGGUAAACGGCGGCCGUAACUAUAACGGUCCUAAGGUAGCGAAAUUCCUUGUCGGGUAAGUUCCGACCUGCACGAAUGGCGUAAUGAUGGCCAGGCUGUCUCCACCCGAGACUCAGUGAAAUUGAACUCGCUGUGAAGAUGCAGUGUACCCGCGGCAAGACGGAAAGACCCCGUGAACCUUUACUAUAGCUUGACACUGAACAUUGAGCCUUGAUGUGUAGGAUAGGUGGGAGGCUUAGAAGUGUGGACGCCAGUCUGCAUGGAGCCGACCUUGAAAUACCACCCUUUAAUGUUUGAUGUUCUAACGUUGACCCGUAAUCCGGGUUGCGGACAGUGUCUGGUGGGUAGUUUGACUGGGGCGGUCUCCUCCUAAAGAGUAACGGAGGAGCACGAAGGUUGGCUAAUCCUGGUCGGACAUCAGGAGGUUAGUGCAAUGGCAUAAGCCAGCUUGACUGCGAGCGUGACGGCGCGAGCAGGUGCGAAAGCAGGUCAUAGUGAUCCGGUGGUUCUGAAUGGAAGGGCCAUCGCUCAACGGAUAAAAGGUACUCCGGGGAUAACAGGCUGAUACCGCCCAAGAGUUCAUAUCGACGGCGGUGUUUGGCACCUCGAUGUCGGCUCAUCACAUCCUGGGGCUGAAGUAGGUCCCAAGGGUAUGGCUGUUCGCCAUUUAAAGUGGUACGCGAGCUGGGUUUAGAACGUCGUGAGACAGUUCGGUCCCUAUCUGCCGUGGGCGCUGGAGAACUGAGGGGGGCUGCUCCUAGUACGAGAGGACCGGAGUGGACGCAUCACUGGUGUUCGGGUUGUCAUGCCAAUGGCACUGCCCGGUAGCUAAAUGCGGAAGAGAUAAGUGCUGAAAGCAUCUAAGCACGAAACUUGCC